GAUGAACGCUAGCUACAGGCUUAACACAUGCAAGUCGAGGGCAGCACAGUGUAGCAAUACACGGGUGGCGACCGGCGCACGGGUGCGUAACGCGUACUCCAACCUUCCCGUUACUCUUGGAUAGCCUUCCGAAAGGGAGAUUAAUACAAGAUGGUAUUCAAAUUUCGCAUGUUAUUUGAAUUAAAGAUUUAUCGGUAACGGAUGGGGGAUGCGUGACAUUAGGUAGAUGGCGGGGUAACGGCCACCAUGCCCACGAUGCCUAGGGGGUUCUGAGAGGAAGGUCCCCCACACUGGAACUGAGACACGGUCCAGACUCCUACGGGAGGCAGCAGUGAGGAAUAUUGGUCAAUGGUCGGAAGACUGAACCAGCCAAGUAGCGUGAAGGAUGAAGGUUCUAUGGAUUGUAAACUUCUUUUAUACGGGAAUAAAACCACCUACGUGUAGGAGCUUGUAUGUACCGUAUGAAUAAGCAUCGGCUAACUCCGUG
This 487-nucleotide ribosomal RNA is filed under the name uncultured bacterium. RNAcentral describes it as "bacterial SSU rRNA". It matches the Rfam family "Bacterial small subunit ribosomal RNA", at positions 28 to 507 of the family's 1533-position model. The record is from RNAcentral.